GAGGAAUAAGCAUCGGCUAACUCCGUGCCAGCAGCCGCGGUAAUACGGGGGAUGCAAGCGUUAUCCGGAAUCAUUGGGCGUAAAGCGCCUGUAGGUUGUUUAAUAAGUCUGUUGUUAAAGACUGGGGCUUAACCCCAGGAAAGCAAUGGAAACUACUAGACUAGAGUAUGGUAGGGGUAAAGGGAAUUUCUAGUGUAGCGGUGAAAUGCGUAGAUAUUAGAAAGAACACCGGUGGCGAAAGCGCUUUACUGGACCAUUACUGACACUCAGAGGCGAAAGCUAGGGUAGCCAAAGGGAUUAGAUACCCCUGUAGUCCUAGCCGUAAACGAUGGAUACUAGAUGUUGCGCUUAUUGUGCAGUGUCGUAGCUAACGCGUUAAGUAUCCCGCCUGGGGAGUACGAUCGCAAGGUUGAAACUCAAAGGAAUUGACGGGGGCCCGCACAAGCGGUGGAGCAUGUGGUUUAAUUCGAUGCAACGCGAAGAACCUUACCAGGGCUUGACAUACUGCAAAUUUUCUUGAAAGAGAAAAGUGCCUUCGGGAAUGCAGAUACAGGUGGUGCAUGGCUGUCGUCAGCUCGUGUCGUGAGAUGUUGGGUUAAGUCCCGCAACGAGCGCAACCCUCGUUUUUAGUUGCCAUUUUAUGGGUUCUCUAGAAAGACUGCCGGUGACAAACCGGAGGAAGGUGGGGAUGACGUCAAGUCAGCAUGCCCCUUAUGCCCUGGGCUACACACGUGCUACAAUGGCUAAGACAAAGAGUCGCGAAUUCGCGAGAAUCAGCUAAUCUCAUAAACUUAGUCUAAGUUCAGAUUGUAGGCUGCAACUCGCCUGCGUGAAG
RNAcentral lists this ribosomal RNA (835 nucleotides) under Haptophyta environmental samples. RNAcentral describes it as "bacterial SSU rRNA". It matches the Rfam family "Bacterial small subunit ribosomal RNA", at positions 481 to 1325 of the family's 1533-position model. The record is from RNAcentral. Lineage: Eukaryota; Haptophyta.